Molecule: ribosomal RNA, 465 nt
Filed under: uncultured bacterium
Lineage: Bacteria
Description: partial 16S ribosomal RNA
Rfam family: Bacterial small subunit ribosomal RNA
Source: RNAcentral
GACGAACGCUGGCGUGCUUAACACAUGCAAGUCGAACGGAAAGGCCCUGCUUUUGUGGGGUGCUCGAGUGGCGAACGGGUGAGUAACACGUGAGUAACCUGCCCUUGACUUUGGGAUAACUUCAGGAAACUGGGGCUAAUACCGGAUAGGAGCUCCUGCUGCAUGGUGGGGGUUGGAAAGUUUCGGCGGUUGGGGAUGGACUCGCGGCUUAUCAGCUUGUUGGUGGGGUAGUGGCUUACCAAGGCUUUGACGGGUAGCCGGCCUGAGAGGGUGACCGGCCACAUUGGGACUGAGAUACGGCCCAGACUCCUACGGGAGGCAGCAGUGGGGAAUAUUGCACAAUGGGCGGAAGCCUGAUGCAGCAACGCCGCGUGCGGGAUGACGGCCUUCGGGUUGUAAACCGCUUUCGCCUGUGACGAAGCGUGAGUGACGGUAAUGGGUAAAGAAGCACCGGCUAACUACGUG